Molecule: ribosomal RNA, 459 nt
Filed under: uncultured bacterium
Lineage: Bacteria
Description: partial 16S ribosomal RNA
Rfam family: Bacterial small subunit ribosomal RNA
Source: RNAcentral
GAUGAACGCUGGCGGCGCGCCUAACACAUGCAAGUCGAACGCCCCCCCCCCUCGGGGGGAACCGGUUGGCAAACGCCUGGUAAACCCGUGAAAAACCUGCCCCCCCCCCCGGGAUACCCGCCCGAAGGACCGGGUAAUACCGGUUACCCCGGGUUCCCCCUUGCCACCCCGCCUAAAGCCCCGACGGGAGGGGUGGGCUCCGCGGCCCACCAGGUAGACGGCGGGGGGACGGCCCACCGUGCCGACAACGGGUAGCCGGGUGGAGAGACCGACCGGCCAGAUGGGGACUGAGACACGGCCCAGACGCCUACGGGAGGCAGCAGUGGGGAAUCUUGCGCAAUGGGGGGAACCCUGACGCAGCGACGCCGCGUGCGGGACGGAGGCCUUCGGGUCGUAAACCGCUUUCAGCAGGGAAGAGUCAAGACUGUACCUGCAGAAGAAGCCCCGGCUAACUACGUG